Molecule: ribosomal RNA, 442 nt
Filed under: uncultured bacterium
Lineage: Bacteria
Description: partial 16S ribosomal RNA
Rfam family: Bacterial small subunit ribosomal RNA
Source: RNAcentral
CCUACGGGAGGCAGCAGUAGGGAAUCUUUCACAAUGGGGGAAACCCUGAUGCAGCGACGCCGCGUGCGUGAUGAAGUAUUUCGGGUUGUAAAGCGCUUUCAUCAGCGAAGAAAAUGACGGUAACUUACGAAUAAGCCUCGGCUAACUACGUGCCAGCAGCCGCGGUCAUACGUAGGGUGCGAGCGUUAUCCGGAGUUACUGGGUGUAAAGAGUUACGUAAGUGGCAUACAAAAGAGAUAGGAAAAUCUGGUGGCUCAACCACUGAGACUAUUAGCGAAACUGUUGAGCUGGAGAGCAGUAGGGGUAAGUGGAAUUUCUAGUGUAGGAGUGAAAUGCGUAGAUAUUAGAAGGAACACCAGUGGCGUAGGCGGGUUACUGGAACGGUUCUGACGCUAAGGCACGAAAGCGUAGGGAGCAAACAGGAUUAGAUACCCUGGUAGUC